GCUGGGUGCAGUGGUGCACACCUGUAAUCCCAACAACUAGGGAAGCUGAGGCAGGGGGAUCACAAGUUGGAGGCUUCCCUGGUUAAAUCAUCGAAACCCUGUCUCAA
Molecule: small RNA, 107 nt
Filed under: Marmota monax (woodchuck)
Lineage: Eukaryota; Metazoa; Chordata; Mammalia; Rodentia; Sciuridae
Source: RNAcentral